GAGUUUGAUCGUGGCUCAGGACGAACGCUGGCGGCGUGCCUAAUACAUGCAAGUCGAGCGGAUCUUCAUUAGCUUGCUUUUGAAGAUCAGCGGCGGACGGGUGAGUAACACGUGGGCAACCUGCCUGUAAGACUGGGAUAACUUCGGGAAACCGGAGCUAAUACCGGAUAAUCCUUUUCCUCUCAUGAGGAAAAGCUGAAAGACGGUUUCGGCUGUCACUUACAGAUGGGCCCGCGGCGCAUUAGCUAGUUGGUGAGGUAACGGCUCACCAAGGCGACGAUGCGUAGCCGACCUGAGAGGGUGAUCGGCCACACUGGGACUGAGACACGGCCCAGACUCCUACGGGAGGCAGCAGUAGGGAAUCUUCCGCAAUGGACGAAAGUCUGACGGAGCAACGCCGCGUGAGCGAUGAAGGCCUCGGUCGUAAAGCUCUGUUGUC
This 439-nucleotide ribosomal RNA is filed under the name uncultured microorganism. RNAcentral describes it as "bacterial SSU rRNA". It matches the Rfam family "Bacterial small subunit ribosomal RNA", at positions 9 to 440 of the family's 1533-position model. The record is from RNAcentral.